RNAcentral lists this ribosomal RNA (159 nucleotides) under uncultured bacterium. RNAcentral describes it as "partial 16S ribosomal RNA". It matches the Rfam family "Bacterial small subunit ribosomal RNA", at positions 329 to 505 of the family's 1533-position model. The record is from RNAcentral.
GCCCAGACUCCUACGGGAGGCAGCAGUGGGGAAUAUUGGACAAUGGGCGCAAGCCUGAUCCAGCAAUGCCGCGUGAGUGAUGAAGGCCUUAGGGUUGUAAAGCUCUUUUACCCGGGAUGAUAAUGACAGUACCGGGAGAAUAAGCCCCGGCUAACUCCG